RNAcentral lists this long non-coding RNA (3225 nucleotides) under Lytechinus variegatus (green sea urchin). RNAcentral's name for it is "uncharacterized LOC121423338, transcript variant X1". The record is from RNAcentral. Lineage: Eukaryota; Metazoa; Echinodermata; Echinoidea; Temnopleuroida; Toxopneustidae.
AUCUGCGUUGCAUAUCCAUGCAUGCGUGGCUUGCUCAAGCGCAUUGCGUUCUCUUUCGAUGCAGGCAAGCACGUGGACAACACGACUUUCAAGUCUGAUGCGAUGGAUGGUAAUGCUAGCUAUCUUUUCUUUUAUGGAGGCUGAGAGAAACAGAAGUAUGAAAGUGAAGAAGGCCAGCUAUUAUUUCAUGGAGGCUGAGAGGAAAAGACACGAAAGUGCGGACAACCUACUCGUGGAUCCCAUGUUUUAUGUGUAUAAUUUAACUGAUUUCUCUCGAGAGAAUGAGAUUGGUGAGAGUCUCAAGAUGUUCUGCAAGGAGAUCAGGACAUUGUGAGAGGCGAGACUAAGCAAGAUAGACUUCAAACUGAGCUGCCACGUGGGGGCGCUCUUUUUUAUGAGUCAUCAAUCAAUGCUGAAGCUACCAGAUUAAAGUCUUUCCAAAGCAUGAUCAAGUUCCUUUCCACCAGAAAUCUACAGGGCAUGGGUCAGGCAGUCUGGGGAAGAAAGGGACCAGAAAUUCUGAAAAAACUUUAAUUAAACCUGGGAUGCUUUGACAUGGAACUGUACUUUGGGAGAUUUGACGAUUGCUCCGGAAUAACGUGAUCAUGGUGACAUGUGCCUGGAUAUCACCCCCUUCAUCUUUGUGCAGUAGUAGCCGAGUUCAUCAUCUGGUUCCAAGGCCAUUGAAUUCUGAUGGUCAAAGGUGAGAAGAAAACAAAGAAAUAUCUAAUCAAGGCAUUCAUUCACCCCUCUUCCAUCCAAUCCAUUUGAUGUUCAUCAUUUCUCAACUGGCCUUGACAGCUGACAGAGCUCUAUUUUCAUCCAUGCAAUCUUGUCAAUGAUUCAUAAGUUCUCAUGUUUGAUUAUGGUUCAGCCAAGUGAGGUUUAUUUUCAUCCAUGUGAUCCAGUUGAUGAUCCAUCAGUGUAGAAUCGGGCCAUCAUGUGAAAGAUGAAUGUCAUUCAUGUUUGUUAGUAUUGCCUUCCACUGCUGCUGUUCUUACAUGAUUUGGAGGUCGUGAAGGUUUUGAAGAACGAACAUUUACCAACACAAGCAUUUUCACAACAUCCAGUAAAUCUUCAUAGCACUGGGGAUUUUCCUCUGAUGUAUCAGGGAGCAUAUGUCAAUGUCAACUCUGAGAGUCACCAGUAUGGAAUACUAGAAUUCAUUCUUCUGAUCCGAAACAGGAUGACCACCAACUCCACUUUCAAGACACACGUACAUGUAUCUCAGUUGGAAGAGGUACACAUCUGUAAAUAUGCAGUUACCACUAAACAUACUUACUGUUCUGUCAAGUGUGUAAAUGUGACAUGCGGAUAUUUAUUUUUGAUUCAGUUCUUGGAAUUACAACUUCAUCUUUUUUUUUUUAAAUUGUUUUCAGAUAAGUCAAUGCUGUCUUGCAUGCUGUAACAGACAAGCUCUAAAGGAAUUCUGAAUUGUAUGCCUAAAGAGUCACACAUGUCAUAGUUGUGUUCUUCACCUCUAAAAUAACCAUUAGACUGGGGGGGGUCUACAAUUGAAUUAUCAAAAAAAUCAUUAUAGGUAGCAAACAGACAGGUUUUACUGAUGAUUUUGUUAUAAAUAUCUGUAAUUUCAACAAAGUUUUUUUUUUAAUCUGAAAUUCACCUCAUUGCAAAUGAGAAUGGCAGCCAUUCCUUAUUAUACUUUUUACUUAAGAAAUGAAAUAGCAAUAGAUGAUAAAUAGAAAUAAGAUCACUUUAUUUAUAAACAAAACUUUUCUGAUAUGGUCAGGUUUUCAGAAAUGUUCCUUUACUCCAGUAUUUCAAAAGAAAAAGGUUAUGAAUUGUGAAAUUGUUACAUUUUGUAUAAGAAACAUAAAUUUCAUUUAUGCAGGCUUUAGUUUUAUCCUAAUUUUUCUCAUCUUAUUAGUCUAGUACUUUGUCCCUAUUCAAUUUUUAUAUUUAAAGAGUGUUCUCUUCCACAUGAAGGGAAUGUGUGCUUCACAUGCCAAGUGAUGUAUGAAGGAGCGUUCAAGCUAUCCAAGCCACUUGUCAAAUAAUGUUUUCCAAGUGCAGAUCCAGGUGAAUGGUUGCGAUGAAUGAGGCUUCAUCAUUCGGUGAGAAAUCUAUGUGGUAGGCAUGGUAGUUGUAAACCUCGGGUGAAAUACGCUGAGAAGAAAAUGAUACGGACAAAAUUGUAUUUCUAUUCGCAGAUAGAUUUGUAUUACUGUGCCCAAAAUAUCGGGCCUUACGACUUCUAAUUGCCUGAACUCAAUCGCCUGGCGGUAAUGUCCCACUAAUUCUUUGAUUUGUUCCAUUGCCACUGAUGCAGCAGUGAAACUUUGUACUUGUUUGCCUGGAACAGCAGGCUAUACGGCUUUUAAUUGCCUUUACUCAAUAGCCUGACGGCUAUCUCAACAUUCGGUAUUUAGUUUCACCUUUGCAGAGGGUCCUGGCGCUUUCCUUGAACCUCUUUGAUGGUUUUACAGUAAAACUGAGGCUGAGUUGCCUUCUCUCUUCAGCCUGGCGGCUAUGCCCCAUUCUUUCUUCCAUCUUUGACCUGCUCUCCCAGGGGGAGAUAGUCAAUUUAAGCUAGGGCGUUUGCUUGGUUGCAACCUUAUUGCAGAUGCUUUAAAAAAUCCUCAUAGAGGCUACCACUGGGGAAAGCGCAGACUCUGUUAUUUAUUUCUUGCUAUUAAGUUUUUUAGGAUCAGUCUGUCUCUGGUUAUCGUGUUUCUAGCUAGUCUAAUAUUAAAGGCCUAUACAUUCUCUUCAUUUAGGUUUGGUCUGUAUUGUCUUUGUUUUGCAGAUGAUUAUUUAGAAUAAUAUCAAUUGUGUAAUUCAAUUGACCUCUUCCACAUUACCUGGGCUGCUCAUGCUAUGGAUCCAACAGCGCUCACAGUCCAGUUUCCUUUCGUCGCUAUGGCCUGACAUAGCGCCCAGAGAGCGGAAUUCCUCUUUGUAUUCAUUCAAUUUUUUCUCCAUCUUCUUCAAUGAGCACACAAUGAACAGAAAUUCCUGUGUGAAAUUCUAUGCAUGCUCCAUUCCCAAAUUGGGAAGAAUGUCCCAAUGAAGAAUGUCUAGAACUAAAAUAUAACUUACGUUUCCCUACUGUCCCAGUGUCUGUUGUUGUUCCCCAUAACCUACCUUCACCCCCUACCCUUCCCUUAUUUAAUAAUUCUUGCCUAUCUUCUGUAGAGAGCUUGUUUUUUUCUCUAAAAUUAUCUAACCGUUUAAACAUUCUUUUCUCAACAUGGUCACACAUUC